AGUGAACGCUGGCGGUAGGCCUAACACAUGCAAGUCGAACGGCAGCACAGUAAGAGCUUGCUCUUACGGGUGGCGAGUGGCGGACGGGUGAGGAAUACAUCGGAAUCUACUUUUUGGUGGGGGUUAAGGAAGGGAAAUUUACGACAAUACCGCAUCCGCCUUCGGGGUGAAGGAGGGGGAUCUUCGACCCUGGGGGGAUUGAAUGGGCGGAUGUCGGUUUAGUUGGUGGGCGGGUUAAAGGCCAACCAAGGCGCGGAUCCGUGGCUGGUCUGGGAGAAUGAUCGGCCGCACGGGAACUGAGACACGGUCCAGACUCCUACGGUAGGCAGCAGUGGGGUAUAUUGGACAAUGGGCGCAAGCCUGAUCCAGCCAUACCGCGUGGGUGAAGAAGGCCUUCGGGGUGUAAAGCCCUUUUGUUGGGAAAGAAAAGCAGCAGGUUAAUACCCCGCUGUUCUGACGGUACCCAAAGAAUAAGCACCGGCUAACUUCGUG
This 492-nucleotide ribosomal RNA is filed under the name uncultured bacterium. RNAcentral's name for it is "partial 16S ribosomal RNA". It matches the Rfam family "Bacterial small subunit ribosomal RNA", at positions 29 to 507 of the family's 1533-position model. The record is from RNAcentral.